RNAcentral lists this long non-coding RNA (2369 nucleotides) under Anser brachyrhynchus (Pink-footed goose). Its description in RNAcentral is "lncRNA (ENSABRG00000018713.1)". The record is from RNAcentral. Lineage: Eukaryota; Metazoa; Chordata; Aves; Anseriformes; Anatidae.
GGAAAACCUACAUAUGGAAGAAAAUCCUUAAUAGUGUUGCCCUUUUAAAAGUCAUGACUGGAAACUGCAGUUUAUAUUUUCAGUGUUGAACAUGAAACUGAGCACAGACUACAGUAGACAUUUCAAAAUGGCACCCAACUCCAGAAAAUCAAAGUCGGUAUAUGGAAUCCUUGCCCUGUGUGGAACCCUCAGAAGAAGGAAAGGGAGGCUGAGGACAAACCCUGGGUACGGACCUAUUGUACAGCAGUUACAGCAAUGCCAAGAGCACAGUGUGCUGCUACUGCUGCUUUGCUGCUGUGCAAAUCUUGGACUUCAAAAUGGGCACGCACGUAAUAGAUGCAGCACAGAUCUUUGGACAUGGCAGACACGAUUUCAGACCUGCACAGCAGCGCUGACUGUAGGCAGGAAGCAUAUGCCAUGUGUAAUAUUUUAAUUUCCUGGUAGCAGCAAUUCUUACAGGCACAAUAGCAGAGCCCGAUAAUGCGAAGUGAGCAGUUCCCCACGCCGCUCACAAACCCUCCUGAGUAGACCUCUGCUUGGCAAGGCAGGCUUAAACCCAGCCAGGAGCCCUGCCAGCAACAGCACAGACCCAGUGCAUUUCUACGUUGGCUCUUCUCCGGUGGCCUCUGCCAACUGGCUCCCGAACCGUGGCGGAGCACAGAGCAAACUCCUUCACUUAACCCCCUGCCACAACCCAGCAGAGACCAAAGGCUGGCUCCCAGCCUCUCCAUGAGAAGAUCUCACCUUUCUCAAAAAGCCCUGGAACUAGAGAGUGUGGACUGCACAGCAGCACUCGUGCAAGCGUUAGCAAAUACAUGCUGUCCGGCUUUUCAGAAGACAUCAGUAGAUAGAGUUAUCCCCACUCACCCCAUCCUACACUUCACCUCUCCUGCCUCUCUCUCCACACACCCACGUGUUAAAAUUAAGUGGGUCUUAACAGAUCCGUAAGUGGGAUAUACCCAAGUGUUUCCAAUUUACCCUCAGUGAACUUGAAUGAAAAACAUUUGAAAAUGAAAUUCUUCGUGAAAUCUUACAGCCUUGCUACAGCAUAUGGAGCUAAUUUCAAAUAGCACUUUGAUAAUGUCAUGAUCUGUUAGAAAGUGUUCACCUUAUACUGAAGAUAUUAUAAACUCGGUUGCAUCACUCAGUAUACGUUCAUCUUAUGAUCCAUAAGAAAGCUAUUUAGCGGAUUGUGAAAUACGAACUUUGGCCAGAGCUAAUUUAGAAAGCUCGGUGUACUGUGGAUGGUGGAGCUCAUUUCUUCUGUGAGCUCCGUAUUAUUCAACUGUUCACAGCUAGUAAAUUCACAUCUAAUAAGCUGCAAAAGUUAUCGGAUGAAACCCAGCCUAUUGUAAUCCCCACAUGAAGCAAAUAACUGCUGAAAAAUUAGUUCCAGCAUGCAUAACAUAUUUUCGCAAACAGCAUCUGAUAAAGGAAUUGGCUUUAUUAACAACUAACUUACAAAUCACACAACGGAGAAAACACAAAAUCUGUUCUAUCUCUCCAGGCCACAGCAUUUCUCAAAUGCUUACCAGGAAAGAAAAGGGCUUAACUGGAAACAAAAGCAUGUACAGACCACAUCUCCCGGCGGGCACAUAGCUUGGAACGGGCAACACGGCGGUAGAACGAUGGUGGAGUAGAACGGAUUUAGUAGAAGGGAUUUGCAGGACAUGAAACACAGGCGAAAAGGUGCUGGUGCUAAUGAAAGCCUUGCUGUAGGGCUGCUGUAAGAGGCAUCGACAAUGCCGAGGAGGCCAUAUUCAUAAGUUUAGCCAAACAGUUCCUUUCUCUGGAUUUAGGAAUAAUAGGUUUACAGCCCGCUUCUCGAGCCAAGGGCCAAAGAUUCCUAUUGUGAGUCCAACUACCUCUGGGUUCUCCCGAACCCCAACAGGCAGUACUAUAACCCAGAGCUCUGCCAGCAACCGGGGCAAAUGGCAAUGUAAGCACAAAUACGUGCUUAUCUGGGGCUUUCCCCUCUGCCUCUGUGGGGACAGAGGGUGGUGUGAAGCUGCCUGAGUCAGAUUCGUGCUCCCCAGAAUAUCCCCAGUUUGCAGGCAGUUCUUAAGAGCCUCUUGACCCCAUGUACAACAAACACGGGGUGGCAGAGCCUACAAAUCCUUGGAUUCUCCCUAGAACAGGGAGCUUUCAGGCACUGUAAACUGGGAUAUCAGAAGCACUGCCUCAAAUCUGGAACAACUCUCAGAAGUCAACUUCUUUGCUACAGACCAAAAUUGGGUCCAUUGCUGAAUUUGCAAAGCCUGAUUCCUGUGUAAUACUCAAGACAUCACCUGAAGUCCCAAGUGUGACAACAACCCUACUGUGGUUUCCCUUCAGCAAGUUUCCAACAAAUAAAUAAGCAAACAGUAACA